GACGAACGCUGGCGGCGUGCUUAACACAUGCAAGUCGAACGGAGCGAAUGAAAGCUUGCUUUUAUAAGCUUAGUGGCAAACGGGUGAGUAACACGUAGGCAACCUGCCGACAGGAUGGGGACAACAUUCCGAAAGGAAUGCUAAUACCGAAUGAAGCGCAGGAGAGGCAUCUCUCCUGCGUGAAAGAUGGCCUCUAUUUAUAAGCUAUCACCUGUCGAUGGGCCUGCGUCUGAUUAGCUGGUAGGUGAGGUAACGGCUCACCUAGGCGACGAUCAGUAGCCGGUCUGAGAGGAUGAACGGCCACAUUGGGACUGAGACACGGCCCAGACUCCUACGGGAGGCAGCAGUGGGGAAUCUUCCGCAAUGGGCGCAAGCCUGACGGAGCAACGCCGCGUGAGUGAAGAAGGUCUUCGGAUCGUAAAGCUCUGUUGAUGGGGACGAACGUGCCUAAUGCGAAUAGUUUAGGUAAAUGACGGUACCC
This 481-nucleotide ribosomal RNA is filed under the name Centipeda noxia. Its description in RNAcentral is "bacterial SSU rRNA". It matches the Rfam family "Bacterial small subunit ribosomal RNA", at positions 28 to 480 of the family's 1533-position model. Lineage: Bacteria; Bacillati; Bacillota; Negativicutes; Selenomonadales; Selenomonadaceae. The record is from RNAcentral.